CCUACGGUGCGCAGCAGUGAGGAAUAUUGGUCAAUGGACGGAAGUCUGAACCAGCCAUGCCGCGUGCAGGAAGACGGCUCUAUGAGUUGUAAACUGCUUUUGUACAAGGGUAAACCUGAAUACGUGUAUUCAGCUGAAAGUACUGUACGAAUAAGGAUCGGGUAACUCCGUGCCAGCCGCCGCGGAAAUACGGAGGAUACAAGCGUUAUCCGGAUUUAUUGGGGUUAAAGGGUGCGUAGGAGGAUUGAUAAGUUAGAGGUGAAAUGUCCGAGUUUAACUCGGGAACUGCCUCUAAUACGGUUGAUCUAGAGAGUAGAUGCGGUAGGCGGAAUGUAUGGUGUAGCGGUGAAAUGCUUAGAGAUCAUACAGAACACCGAUUGCGAAGGCAGCUUACCAAUCUAUAUCUGACGUUGAGGCACGAAAGCGUGGGGAGCAAACAGGAUUAGAUACCCCAGUAGUC
Molecule: ribosomal RNA, 460 nt
Filed under: uncultured bacterium
Lineage: Bacteria
Description: partial 16S ribosomal RNA
Rfam family: Bacterial small subunit ribosomal RNA
Source: RNAcentral